Long non-coding RNA from Melanotaenia boesemani (Boeseman's rainbowfish), 1179 nucleotides. RefSeq lists it as uncharacterized. The transcript is spliced from 2 exons. Lineage: Eukaryota; Metazoa; Chordata; Actinopteri; Atheriniformes; Melanotaeniidae. The record is from RefSeq and is a predicted model, not a curated record.
ACCUCACUCUGAGCACUAAUGCCAUCAUCACUUCUUAUGUUUCAGCAUCACCCUCACAAUGACUAGCUGCACCUUAGACUGGAGUAGAUGUUGAUCACAUGAUUUCUCAUCCUCACCUUUAACUGUUCCUCAUGUUAUUUUGUGCUGAAGGUAGUAACUUUUUGAACAUCAUUCAUUUUCCACAUCUGUCUUAAUCAAUACAUAAUGAUGAUUUUAAUGUUUUAAUUUCUCAAAUCAGUUACUGUUGUUCAUGUUUUCCCUGAAGCCUUUUUUCACAGUACUUUUGACAGCUAAUCUCCAUGCCUGCACUAUCAGUCCCUGUUACUGCCAAGAUAAGAACUAGUAAACAACAUUCAUUCAGGACUUUCCCUCAGGGGGGCAUAAAAUGACUCAGCAGAUUAAAACACUUACAGUAAAGUGAAGUUUUGAGUAUUUUGAAAUAUUCUCCAAGGAGUCUGUGAGGAGAAAAACUGAGGAGUCAUCUCAACAUCCUGUUACUAAAAGAAAAAAAACUCCCCGUUUGCUGCCAUAGUGGGGGAAGCUUGAAAGCACAUGAUUUGGAGUCACCUUAGAGCAUGCCUGGUUGAGCAUCAGCACUGCUGAUCUCUGCCUCUUAGUGCUUAGUUUACAUGUGGCUCGGUAGCUUGUGGCCAGUCCACAUGUACAGUACUGGAAUCCUGCUGAAGCAAUAUGUCUUUAUUUUCUAAAAUAAGCAUGAAUUUAGAAGUGAUGCAAAAGCAAUCCAAAGGGGCCAGAUUUUUUAAAAUUUUAAAAUUUUAUUUUUUUAAUGAGUGCGGUUGGGAUUAGAUUAGAUUAGUUUCUCUUAGUCCCGAAUAGUGUUGGAACUCAUUUAAGCCUGUGAUCAGUAUUUAACAUUUACCAACGAUGAUGACCGCUAUUGCAGUGAACAGCAUAAAAAUUCUGUAGAAACUGCUUGUAAAUACACUAGAACCCACUCUUGAAACCAGUAGCUCUGUUACCUAGAAAACACUUGCAACACCUUGGUAGCCAUUUCGUAACAAAUCUACGUGCAUUAUAUUGUGCAAACAAGUUCCUUUAACAUCUUCAAACAGGCACAUUCAAACAGAUGACAUUUAUCUGGCCAUGUUGCUGUGCAGCAUGGAAGACCAAAUAUGGAGGCCAGAAACUUUCAAGACCAGAAUGAAUGAAGAAAUAAAU